Non-coding RNA from Meleagris gallopavo (turkey), 797 nucleotides. The record is from RefSeq and is a predicted model, not a curated record. Lineage: Eukaryota; Metazoa; Chordata; Aves; Galliformes; Phasianidae.
UUCAGUUACUUAUAGCUGAGAAACUAUGAUGGGCUGUAAUUUUCCAUACCAGCUGUCUGCCUCAGGCUGACUCUGACAAACAGCAUUUCAAGAAAACUGGGAGCUUGCAGAAGAUGGAAGCAGGGACAUGUGAUAGAAGAAGGACUUAAAGGCAUUGCUUGCAUGCUUAAGGACAAAAUUUGGAAGACAAAAGCCCAGCUGGAGCAAAGACCUGAGGCAGACUUUAAGGGCAGCGAGAACGAAUCCUGCAGUUUGUUAAACAGGAUGAAGAAUCACAAUGAAGUCCAUGUAUCCUUGUGGGACUGGGAAGACAAGCAUCAUCACAACUUAGUCUCCCCACUGUGGAGCCUCUGCUGCAGGAGAUUUCUUCCCUGAAACUUUUCAGCUCAUUCCCUCAGACUGACAAAUCACCAAAUGUAAUUUGCCUGCUGCUAGAAGAUCAGCAGAGAUGUCCCAGCAAAACUGAACUCACAGAAUCAUUCAGAGCAGGAUGUGGCGUUAAUGAGAGUUUAAUUACCCAAGCAUUUGUUGAAAACAAAAGAUGACAGGUCACAGACGGUUCAUCCAGGUUUUAAUGUGCUGGUGGAGAGUUUUGAUACAGAGCUAGUGAAAGCGACUUGGAAGUUAUGUUUGAACAGAAGGAAAGUUAAAUGGAUAAUGGCUGCUGUCUGGUCUCUGGUGUAUAUCAAUUAUUCUCAAGGAAAUAUCUUUCCUUUGCUGAGUGGCAUAUAUCUACCUGCUCUCCCUGCCCUUCUUCUAAGGAUCUGACAGAGCAACCAGUCAACAUUUUCAUCUUC